Molecule: long non-coding RNA, 481 nt
Filed under: Sinocyclocheilus anshuiensis
Lineage: Eukaryota; Metazoa; Chordata; Actinopteri; Cypriniformes; Cyprinidae
Description: lncRNA (ENSSANG00000030932.1)
Source: RNAcentral
UUAGGGGAGGAGUUUACAUACUUCCUUCAGCUAAAGCUCUAAACUCAUGCUACAAGGACAUACACGCACACACACACACACACACACACACACACACACACACACACCCCUUGCCCUACAGGAGCAUUACAGACUAUGAUGGUUAGUUUUAGUCAGUUUGAAAGGAACUUUUUGCCAAAUCCACAGAGCACAUACUGACAGAUCUAUGAGGAACGAACAUACUGCCGGGAGUCAGCAGGAUAGAGGUUGGUCCCACCCUGGCUUUCAUAGAUUUUUGCCAUGAGAAGAAAGAGUAAAUUUCACAGGGAGACAUCACAGUGUUUCUGUCAGUCAUGGGUAAUAGAUUUACCCAAGAAGCGAUAUCACCCGCUGAGUUUGAUGCCUUAUGGAAUGACCCUCCAUACGCUUUAGCAGCCGUCAGUGAGCUCUUUUCGCCCAAUGACGCCAUGACAGCUGGUAAGAGGAUUUCUUGAGUCAAGCA